AUUGAACGCUGGCGGCAUGCCUUACACAUGCAAGUCGAACGGUAACAGGUCUUCGGAUGCUGACGAGUGGCGAACGGGUGAGUAAUACAUCGGAACGUGCCUAGUAGUGGGGAUAACUACUCGAAAGAGUGGCUAAUACCGCAUGAGAUCUACGGAUGAAAGCAGGGGAUCGCAAGACCUUGUGCUACUAGAGCGGCCGAUGGCAGAUUAGGUAGUUGGUGGGAUAAAAGCUUACCAAGCCGACGAUCUGUAGCUGGUCUGAGAGGACGAUCAGCCACACUGGGACUGAGACACGGCCCAGACUCCCACGGGAGGCAGCAGUGGGGAAUUUUGGACAAUGGGCGAAAGCCUGAUCCAGCAAUGCCGCGUGCAGGAUGAAGGCCUUCGGGUUGUAAACUGCUUUUGUACGGAACGAAAAGCCCCGGGUUAAUACCCUGGGGUCAUGACGGUACCGUAAGAAUAAGCACCGGCUAACUACGUGCCAGCAGCCGCCGUAA
Molecule: ribosomal RNA, 497 nt
Filed under: uncultured bacterium
Lineage: Bacteria
Description: partial 16S ribosomal RNA
Rfam family: Bacterial small subunit ribosomal RNA
Source: RNAcentral